AGAACGAACGCUGGCGGCGUGCCUAACACAUGCAAGUCGAACGAGACCGCUGACUUCGGUUGGCGCGUCUAGUGGCGCACGGGUGCGUAACGCGUGGGAAUCUGCCCUUGGGUUCGGGAUAACAGUUGGAAACGACUGCUAAUACCGGAUGAUGUCUUCGGACCAAAGAUUUAUCGCCCAGGGAUGAGCCCGCGUCGGAUUAGCUAGUUGGUGGGUAAAAGCCUACCAAGGCAACGAUCCGUAGCUGGUCUGAGAGGAUGAUCAGCCACACUGGGACUGAGACACGGCCAGACUCCGUACGGGAGCAGCAGGUGGGGAAUAGUUGGAACAAGUGGGACGAAAGCCGUAGAUCCAGCAAUGACCGCGUGAGUGAUGAAGGUCCGUUAGGGUUAGUAAAGUCUUCGUUUUUAACCCGGGAUAGAUAAUGACUAGGUACCGGAGAAGUAACGCCCGACUAACCGUCCGU
Molecule: ribosomal RNA, 466 nt
Filed under: uncultured soil bacterium
Lineage: Bacteria
Description: bacterial SSU rRNA
Rfam family: Bacterial small subunit ribosomal RNA
Source: RNAcentral